RNAcentral lists this ribosomal RNA (253 nucleotides) under uncultured bacterium. RNAcentral describes it as "partial 16S ribosomal RNA". It matches the Rfam family "Bacterial small subunit ribosomal RNA", at positions 524 to 776 of the family's 1533-position model. The record is from RNAcentral.
UACGUAGGGGGCUAGCGUUGUCCGGAAUCAUUGGGCGUAAAGCGCGUGUAGGCGGUCCGGUAAGUCCGCUGUGAAAGUCGGGGGCUCAACCCUCGGAUGCCGGUGGAUACUGUCGGGCUUGAGUACGGAAGAGGCGAGUGGAAUUCCUGGUGUAGCGGUGAAAUGCGCAGAUAUCAGGAGGAACACCAAUUGCGAAGGCAGCUCGCUGUGACGUUACUGACGCUGAGACGCGAAAGCGUGGGGAGCAAACAGG